Molecule: non-coding RNA, 45 nt
Organism: Callithrix jacchus (white-tufted-ear marmoset)
Lineage: Eukaryota; Metazoa; Chordata; Mammalia; Primates; Cebidae
Source: Rfam
CCAAAGGCUCUUUUCAGAGCCACCUAAUUAUUCCAGCGGAAGUAG